AGUGAACGCUGGCGGUAGGCCUAACACAUGCAAGUCGAACGGCAGCACAGUAAGAGCUUGCUCUUACGGGUUGCGAGUGGCGGACGGGUGAGGAAUACAUCGGAAUCUACUUUUUCGUGUGGGCUAACGUAGGGAAACUUACGCUAAUACCGCAUACGACCUACGGUUGAAAGCAGGGGAUCUUCUGACCUUGCGCGAUUGAAUGAGCCGAUGUCGGAUUAGCUAGUUGGCGGGGUAAAGGCCCACCAAGGCGACGAUCCGUAGCUGGUCUUAGAGGAUGAUCAGCCACACUGGAACUGAGACACGGUCCAGACUCCUAAGGGAGGCAGCAGUGGGGAAUAUUGGACAAUGGGCGCAAGCCUGAUCCAGCCAUACCGCGUGGGUGAAGAAGGCCUUCGGGUUGUAAAGCCCUUUUGUUGGGAAAGAAAAGCAGCAGGUUAAUACCCCGCUGUUCUGACGGUACCCAAAGAAUAAGCACCGGCUAACUUCGUG
RNAcentral lists this ribosomal RNA (492 nucleotides) under uncultured bacterium. RNAcentral describes it as "partial 16S ribosomal RNA". It matches the Rfam family "Bacterial small subunit ribosomal RNA", at positions 29 to 507 of the family's 1533-position model. The record is from RNAcentral.